GACGGGCUCUGAAAAACAAAAAGCGUCCAGACACAUUCAAACAGAAAUAAAGCGCUUUGGUGGAGCACUGUUGAAUCCGGCCAGGAGAGGGCUGUCGAGUACACGGACUCUGCUUCCUGGAGCUGUUUAAUAUUUGCUCUGUACAGACUCUGGCAUUUCAGGAAAGCCAAACGAAGCGGUUUCGUACUUAUUCUGACGCAACCAACAUUAAUAAGCAAAAAUAGUCAUUGCCGCCUUGCACCAUUGCUGUGCUCGAGCACAGCGGUAGCGACAGAGUGUAAAUGAAAAGAAUUGGGUUCAAAGAAUCCUGCUGGAGAAGAAAAUCUGCCCUGUGAGCGAGAUUUUUGGAAACCAAAGGAGCUGCUGUUAGAAAUACCCGCGGCUCAUGUCGACAAGAGGCGGGAUGCCCGAACAAUCACUCAACCAGCCAAAAGGCUUUCGGCUACUUGGAGUUUUAUGUAAACUUGUCCUGUUUGGCAAAGGUAACACCGGUGUGUCAGAAGGGAUCAGCAAAGAGGUAUAUAGUAAGACCACCUUCAAAACCUUAGGACGACGUAGCACAAUGCGGCGCAGCCUCUUCCUAUCGCCACGGAAGAAAAGAAAGUGCCAUUGUCAGAGCGCUGUGGCCUUUGAAAGCAGAACAGCUCAGCCAUCAAAGCUCCCAGCACUCCUCCGCAAUCGCUAUUCACUGCGGCUUCGUGGGCAGGAACUAAACCAGUUUUAUGAAGUUCUAAGGGGAGGGGGAAAAAAGAAAUUAGCUCCUGAAAAUGAGUCUCUUGUAGUAAGUGCUGCAAAUAAUGAACAGCUGCAGCGUUUCCUUUGGAAGGUGAAACGAAGGAAACGCAGCCUUAAUGGGCAUUUAAAGCGGGAACGGGUCAGUCUCCACGAUGUUUAUUGGGCAUAAUGGAAGCAUUCGGUUGUCAAAGGAAGCAUUAAAAAAAAAUGGACAGAGGUAGGUAGGACGCAUUAUUUAAACACAUAUUUAUCCAUCAGAAAGAAAACGGCUGCAGAUUAGAGGCGAGUGAGAUCAACCGCAGCUCAGUUGUAGCCUUGACCAUAUGGUUUGGUCUUGCAAAUCAAUAAACUACCUGUUUUUUCCUGUUACCCUUCAUUCUUCCCUUCAAGGGACUGGUCCUCAUCCUUUUCCUUCAUUAUCAAGCCAAUGGGUGCUUCAUUCCAGAAAACCUUGGUUUCCAGGUCAUCUCUACACCUUUUGCUGCAGCACACUCCGCCCGGCCUGCUCUCCAUUUAUUAAUGCUCCGAUAUUCCUUUUUCCAACAAGUUCCACCCAAAAUAUCUGGAAAAACAACCACUCAAACUGAACUGCAGCCUGAGCCUACUUAAAAUAUAACCUUCCCUUUCUCUUAUAUACAGUUGCUACAACUUUAUGAUUUUGGGGAAGAGAAGUUUACAACACAACAAAAUAAUAAACAUUAGGAUUUGACGCCAAUUUGGGACAGAACAGAAGGACCAACAUGUAUAAAACACCUUAUCAGACAGACCCUAUUACUGCAGGCUAAAUGCUGCACAAAUAGACAAGUGCAUUAGGUAGAAACGACAACAGGCAAAUACAUGGAAAAGCACAUUUGUUACAUUUCUGGCUGUGCACCAAGGGAGGGGAGGGACCGUUGACCAUUAACUCAUGUAUAUCCAUGGAAUUGCCUGGUUUGUUGGAAUCGUGGUUACGCUGUUUAGGUCAAGCUCAGCAAAGCCCAGAUUGGGUGCUCUGAACACCAAGGCCGCCACGUCAGAGCUCUGAUCCAAGCUUGAGACCUCCGAGUAAUACAAACCAAUUAAUUCUGGUCCUGUUGAAGACUAAUAGAACCUGUGCGAUCGAUGUGCUGGGCAACGGGAUGCCCUCUCAGGCAAGAAACAAGAACAAAUUACUUUUCCCUUUCAUUUGACGGAAAUCAGACCCUUCAAGGAGAGGUAAAUGUAAUUAUCAAGCUACAGUCUCUCCUGUUCUGACAAGCUGUGCUUUACCCAACCCAGAUGGGAGGCAAGAUCCUUAUUGUGCGACAGCGCGACCUUCACGCUUCCCAGAACCGGAAUAUUCAUUUGAUGAGCAACCUUAACGAUGGGAUACGACAGAAACUUCUCUUCCCCCUGCCCAUUUAUAUGCUCUCAGAAGCCAGGAUUAAUUGUCAAUAUAUUUUGUAUAAAAACAGCAGUCCAAAAACGCAUCCAGGGAAACCGUGUCCCAUCCAGCGUUCCCUAGGGAAACAAACUACUGCAAAUAUCUCCUGUCCCUGACUCACUUUGUGUCUCUGUUUACGCCGAUAUAAUUAGUACAGUUGUGGAACCAGAGUUCUGUUGUCUAGCAAACUCACUCCACGGUGAUUUUAGCCUGUGCUGGAUUAUUUUGACUCCACAAACCCCAAUCUAAGCAGCGUGUGGAGUCAACAGCAAGAUGAUGGAGCCUCCGUCUUCUCAAACCCUACAGAAAACAUGCUGCUGUUGAAAUCUGGUUUUGCAUGGACUUUUUGAUGGAGCUGGAUAACGUGAGCUCACCCACAGUGAGAAACGCUGGGUAACCCUUCCCUGGCUACUUUGCAAGCGCAUUUUAUAACGUUAAGAGAUUCCAUCCCAUGUGCCCCUUGGCCAUCUCUCUUCUGAGCUGUGGGGUGCUGUCCAUUCCAUUCUGAAUUCUAUCUGUUAGAACCCUAUUAAAAAAUAUAAUAAUAAAAA
Long non-coding RNA from Columba livia (rock pigeon), 2688 nucleotides. RefSeq lists it as uncharacterized. The transcript has 2 exons. The record is from RefSeq and is a predicted model, not a curated record. NCBI's taxonomy places the organism in Eukaryota, Metazoa, Chordata, Aves, Columbiformes, Columbidae.